GGCUGUGGCUCAGUGGUACAGCACUUGCCUGGCAUGUGUGAGGCACUGGGUUCGAUCCUCAACACCA
Molecule: transfer RNA, 67 nt
Filed under: Marmota monax (woodchuck)
Lineage: Eukaryota; Metazoa; Chordata; Mammalia; Rodentia; Sciuridae
Description: tRNA.Ala
Source: RNAcentral